ACAGCAGCAGCCACGGGAAUACGAAGGGUGCAAGCGUUACUCGGAAUUACUGGGCGUAAAGGGUGCGUAGGUGGUCUUUUAAGUCUGUUGUGAAAUCCCUGGGCUCAACCUGGGAAUGGCAGUGGAUACUGGAAGGCUAGAGUGCGGUAGAGGGUAGUGGAAUUCCCGGUGUAGCAGUGAAAUGCGUAGAGAUCGGGAGGAACACCAGUGGCGAAGGCGGCUACCUGGACCAGCACUGACACUGAGGCACGAAAGCGUGGGGAGCAAACAGGAUUAGAUACCCGCGUAGUCCCUGUCUCUUAUAC
RNAcentral lists this ribosomal RNA (305 nucleotides) under uncultured bacterium. RNAcentral describes it as "partial 16S ribosomal RNA". It matches the Rfam family "Bacterial small subunit ribosomal RNA", at positions 506 to 807 of the family's 1533-position model. The record is from RNAcentral.